GUAGGUGGCAAGCGUUGUCCGGAAUUAUUGGGCGUAAAGCGCGCGCAGGCGGUUCUUUAAGUCUGAUGUGAAAGCCCACGGCUCAACCGUGGAGGGUCAUUGGAAACUGGAGAACUUGAGUACAGAAGAGGAAAGCGGAAUUCCACGUGUAGCGGUGAAAUGCGUAGAGAUGUGGAGGAACACCAGUGGCGAAGGCGGCUUUCUGGUCUGUAACUGACGCUGAGGCGCGAAAGCGUGGGGAGCAAACAGGGAUUAGAUACCCUGGUAGUCCACGCCGUAAACGAUGAGUGCUAAGUGUUAGGGGGUUUCCCGCCCCUUAGUGCUGCAGCUAACGCAUUAAGCACUCCGCCUGGGGAGUACGGCCGCAAGGUUG
RNAcentral lists this ribosomal RNA (373 nucleotides) under uncultured organism. RNAcentral's name for it is "partial 16S ribosomal RNA". It matches the Rfam family "Bacterial small subunit ribosomal RNA", at positions 527 to 896 of the family's 1533-position model. The record is from RNAcentral.